Molecule: non-coding RNA, 30 nt
Filed under: Mus musculus (house mouse)
Lineage: Eukaryota; Metazoa; Chordata; Mammalia; Rodentia; Muridae
Source: RNAcentral
UAUAUGAUCAUUUUGAGCUUGUCGACUCCA